Molecule: ribosomal RNA, 486 nt
Filed under: uncultured bacterium
Lineage: Bacteria
Description: partial 16S ribosomal RNA
Rfam family: Bacterial small subunit ribosomal RNA
Source: RNAcentral
AUUGAACGCUGGCGACAUGCCUUACACAUGCAAGUCGAACGGCAGCACGGGUGCUUGCACCUGGUGGCGAGUGGCGAACGGGUGAGUAAUACAUCGGAACAUGUCCUGUAGUGGGGGAUAGCCCGGCGAAAGCCGGAUUAAUACCGCAUACGAUCUACGGAUGAAAGCGGGGGACCUUCGGGCCUCGCGCUAUAGGGUUGGCCGAUGGCUGAUUAGCUAGUUGGUGGGGUAAAGGCCUACCAAGGCGACGAUCAGUAGCUGGUCUGAGAGGACGACCAGUCACACUGGGACUGAGACACGGCCCAGACUCCUACGGGAGGCAGCAGUGGGGAAUUUUGGACAAUGGGCGGAAGCCUGAUCCAGCAAUGCCGCGUGUGUGAAGAAGGCCUUCGGGUUGUAAAGCACUUUUGUCCGGAAAGAAAUCCUUGGCCCUAAUACGGUCGGGGGAUGACGGUACCGGAAGAAUAAGCACCGGCUAACUACGUG